RNAcentral lists this ribosomal RNA (253 nucleotides) under uncultured bacterium. RNAcentral's name for it is "partial 16S ribosomal RNA". It matches the Rfam family "Bacterial small subunit ribosomal RNA", at positions 524 to 776 of the family's 1533-position model. The record is from RNAcentral.
GACGGAAGGUGCAAGCGUUGCUCGGAAUCACUGGGCGUAAAGGGUGCGUAGGCGGCUGUGCAAGUCUGGCGUGAAAGCCCCGGGCUCAGCCCGGGAAGUGCGCUCGAAACUGCACGGCUCGAGUGCCGGAGGGGAGAGUGGAAUUCCAGGUGUAGCGGUGAAAUGCGUAGAUAUCUGGAGGAACACCGGUGGCGAAGGCGGCGUUCUGGACUGCAACUGACACUGAUAAACGAAAGCCAGGGUAGCAAACGGG